GACGAACGCUGGCGGCGUGCUUAACACAUGCAAGUCGAACGGAAAGGCCCUGCUUUUGUGGGGUGCUCGAGUGGCGAACGGGUGAGUAACCCGUGAGUAACCUGCCCUUGACUUUGGGAUAACUUCAGGAAACUGGGGCUAAUACCGGAUAGGAGCUCCUGCUGCAUGGUGGGGGUUGGAAAGUUUCGGCGGAUGGGGAUGGACGCGCGGCUUAUCAGCUUGUUGGUGGGGUAGUGGCUUACCAAGGCUUUGACGGGUAGCCCGCCUGAGAGGGUGACCGGCCACAAUGGGACUGAGAUACGGCCCAGACUCCUACUGGAGGCAGCAGUGGGGAAUAUUGCACAAUGGGCGGAAGCCUGAGGCAGCAACGCCGCGUGCGGGAUGACGGCCUUCGGGUUGUAAACCGCUUUCGCCUGUGACGAAGCGGGAGUGACGGUAAUGGGUAAAGAAGCACCGGCUAACUACGUG
RNAcentral lists this ribosomal RNA (468 nucleotides) under uncultured bacterium. RNAcentral describes it as "partial 16S ribosomal RNA". It matches the Rfam family "Bacterial small subunit ribosomal RNA", at positions 28 to 507 of the family's 1533-position model. The record is from RNAcentral.